This 640-nucleotide ribosomal RNA is filed under the name Escherichia coli. Its description in RNAcentral is "partial 23S ribosomal RNA". It matches the Rfam family "Bacterial large subunit ribosomal RNA", at positions 2159 to 2798 of the family's 2925-position model. Lineage: Bacteria; Pseudomonadati; Pseudomonadota; Gammaproteobacteria; Enterobacterales; Enterobacteriaceae. The record is from RNAcentral.
GAAGUGUGGACGCCAGUCUGCAUGGAGCCGGCCUUGAAAUACCACCCUUUAAUGUUUGAUGUUCUAACGUGGACCCGUGAUCCGGGUUGCGGACAGUGUCUGGUGGGUAGUUUGACUGGGGCGGUCUCCUCCUAAAGAGUAACGGAGGAGCACGAAGGUUGGCUAAUCCUGGUCGGACAUCAGGAGGUUAGUGCAAUGGCAUAAGCCAGCUUGACUGCGAGCGUGACGGCGCGAGCAGGUGCGAAAGCAGGUCAUAGUGAUCCGGUGGUUCUGAAUGGAAGGGCCAUCGCUCAACGGAUAAAAGGUACUCCGGGGAUAACAGGCUGAUACCGCCCAAGAGUUCAUAUCGACGGCGGUGUUUGGCACCUCGAUGUCGGCUCAUCACAUCCUGGGGCUGAAGUAGGUCCCAAGGGUAUGGCUGUUCGCCAUUUAAAGUGGUACGCGAGCUGGGUUUAGAACGUCGUGAGACAGUUCGGUCCCUAUCUGCCGUGGGCGCUGGAGAACUGAGGGGGGCUGCUCCUAGUACGAGAGGACCGGAGUGGACGCAUCACUGGUGUUCGGGUUGUCAUGCCAAUGGCACUGCCCGGUAGCUAAAUGCGGAAGAGAUAAGUGCUGAAAGCAUCUAAGCACGAAACUUGCC